UGUACACACCGCCCGUCACAUCACGAAAGUGGAUUGUACUAGAAGUCCGCAGGCUGACCCGCAAGGGGAGUAGCGGCCCAAGGUAUGAUUCAUGAUUGGGGUGAAGUCGUAACAAGGUAGCCGUAGGAGAACCUGCGGCUGGAUCACCUCCUU
Molecule: ribosomal RNA, 153 nt
Filed under: uncultured bacterium
Lineage: Bacteria
Description: partial 16S ribosomal RNA
Rfam family: Bacterial small subunit ribosomal RNA
Source: RNAcentral